Molecule: unclassified non-coding RNA, 546 nt
Filed under: Hevea brasiliensis (rubber tree)
Lineage: Eukaryota; Viridiplantae; Streptophyta; Magnoliopsida; Malpighiales; Euphorbiaceae
Source: RNAcentral
AAAAGCUCAGCCUAGUAAAAGAAUCCAAGCACUUUGCCGCCAACAUUCUUUCUUCUAGCUUCUUCAUGGUCCAUAAUGCCAGCAGAAGUUGUCAACACAAUAUAACCAAACUGUCUUGAAGGGAGCAACCUUGCAGUCCAUCCUUCAAUCUCCUUGACUCCAACAUCGAAGCGAGGACUAAUAACACCACACUUGUUUAGCCUUCCGUUCAGUUCGACAACAAUCUUUCCGGACCUAUGAUCAUCGACGUACUCAAAUUCUCCAAUGUAACCAUGCUUCUGCAUAACAAUGAGGAACUUGAUGAUGACUUUUGAUGAAGGUCUAAUCAUGACCUGACGCUUUCCCCUCUUUUCAGCAUUGUACAUGCUCUUGAGAGCAUCAUUCAGCACGCUAACUCUGACCAUCUUUUCUUAUCUAAGAUUUGAUUCGGUAGAGAAAGAGAUCACAAGAGUUGUUGCUGCGGAGGAGCAAAGAGGCGGCAAUCUGAAGCACUGGUUUUUACUAAUAAACGUAGGGUUUUAGGUUUUAUUAUUGUUAGGAAGAAGA